Molecule: ribosomal RNA, 497 nt
Filed under: uncultured bacterium
Lineage: Bacteria
Description: partial 16S ribosomal RNA
Rfam family: Bacterial small subunit ribosomal RNA
Source: RNAcentral
GAUGAACGCUGGCGGCGUGCCUAAUACAUGCAAGUCGAGCGAACAGACGAGGAGCUUGCUCCUCUGACGUUAGCGGCGGACGGGUGAGUAACACGUGGAUAACCUACCUAUAAGACUGGGAUAACUUCGGGAAACCGGAGCUAAUACCGGAUAAUAUAUUGAACCGCAUGGUUCAAUAGUGAAAGACGGUUUUGCUGUCACUUAUAGAUGGAUCCGCGCCGCAUGAGCUAGUUGGUAAGGUAACGGCUUACCAAGGCAACGAUUCGUAGCCGACCUGAGAGGGUGAUCGGCCACACUGGAACUGAGACACGGUCCAGACUCCUACGGGAGGCAGCAGUAGGGAAUCUUCCGCAAUGGGCGAAAGCCUGGCGGAGCAACGCCGCGUGAGUGAUGAAGGUCUUCGGAUCGUAAAACUCUGUUAUUAGGGAAGAACAAAUGUGUAAGUAACUAUGCACGUCUUGACGGUACCUAAUCAGAAAGCCACGGCUAACUACGUG